This 68-nucleotide transfer RNA is filed under the name Marmota monax (woodchuck). RNAcentral's name for it is "tRNA.Val". The stretch from base 5 to 65 matches the Rfam family "tRNA", at positions 6 to 65 of the family's 71-position model. Rfam says of the family: Transfer RNA (tRNA) molecules are approximately 80 nucleotides in length. The record is from RNAcentral. Lineage: Eukaryota; Metazoa; Chordata; Mammalia; Rodentia; Sciuridae.
GGUAUGUAGCUCAGUGGUAGAGUAUUUGCCUAACAUGUGUAAAGCCCUAGGUUCCAUUCCCAGCACUG